Molecule: small nucleolar RNA, 132 nt
Filed under: Pelecanus crispus (Dalmatian pelican)
Lineage: Eukaryota; Metazoa; Chordata; Aves; Pelecaniformes; Pelecanidae
Description: Small nucleolar RNA SNORA55
Rfam family: Small nucleolar RNA SNORA55
About the family: ACA55 is a member of the H/ACA class of snoRNA that guide the sites of modification of uridines to pseudouridines.
Source: Rfam by way of RNAcentral
GCAUCUGAAUCUUUCCCACUCCUGCGAUACAGUGCUGGACUGGGGAUGCACGAUGCAACAGGAAAGCAGAGGAAAUCCAGGCAAGCUUCCUUUCACCACAGUGGGACUUGUCUCUACACCUUUGCAACAUUU